AACUGAACGGUCUUAAUUGCAGAAUCUUGUCUUUUCAUAGCCAUCAGCUGGAGUGCGGUUCCUGAGCAGCCGCUGGAUGUCACUGCCAAUGGCUUUCCACAGGGAACAACACGGAAGGCAAUCAGGUGCCUUCAGGCCAGGGUCCGAGCUGAUGGACAGCUCACAUGGACAGUCUGUGAGGACGGGGAAGGGUAUGGUGUGUAAAGAUGAGACAACACCUUCUUGGCACACACGUCUGCCUCUGCAUCAGCUCGUGAACCACGUAUAGUGAGGAAAGAAGGAGGCACACACGGUCCAGAUCCCGGCAGCCUGGAUGGGCAGAGCCAGGAGAGCCCAGUUGGGCUGGUGAGGAAUCCGCACUCACUUCCUUCACUGUCCCGAGCUGUGGCCUGCACGAAGCUUCGUGUUAGAAGCAAAGGAAGGCCCACAGUGCCCGCAGGGGAGUCUGGAGGCUCUGCCUCCGGUGCUUGUCCGAGUGGACUUUGUAACCGUGGUUCACGUGGGGAGCACCACUCAAGCUUGAAACCCAGCUUCAGUGUCGUGAGCGGUAUCACCCACAGGGCCGGCGCCCUUAGGAAGAAGUAGCCCAGCAUGGCUGGCAGGAGUCCUGGGGGGAAUUUAGUAAUCCCACCUCUGUUGUCACCCCAUUUGAGACUGUCACCUUCAUGAUUUCACGGCUGAUGACAUUUCUUAAGAGGAGAUUCACUUUGUUAACCUCACCCCAAUCAGGUCUACAUUUUCUUCAUGUGAAGAACAGGUGGGGGGGGUGGCGUUCCUGCACGUUCAAAUUUAAGAAAGAUACCAGGGGAAGCCCGGUGUCCCUGACAGGGGCCUGGUGUAUAUCAAACACUCAUUAAAAAUCUUCUUUGUCUUGUCUUUCCAAACAGAUCCCAAAUCAGCAAAGUGGAACUCUUUAGAUCAUUUCAGAAACUGCUAAGCAGUAUUUCAGAGGACAAGUGGCCAGACUCCCUCAGGUGACUCUGUUGACCCAUUUUUUUUUUCAUAUUUAGGACGACUUGUGGUUUAAUUCUGGUUUACAAAUGGCAGGAAGCUUUGGCAGGAGUGGUGGCUCAAUGGGCCAGUG
RNAcentral lists this long non-coding RNA (1084 nucleotides) under Panthera leo (lion). RNAcentral's name for it is "lncRNA (ENSPLOG00000017622.1)". The record is from RNAcentral. Lineage: Eukaryota; Metazoa; Chordata; Mammalia; Carnivora; Felidae.